UACGAAGGGGGCUAGCGUUGCUCGGAAUCACUGGGCGUAAAGGGUGCGUAGGCGGGUCUUUAAGUCAGGGGUGAAAUCCUGGAGCUCAACUCCGGAACUGCCUUUGAUACUGAGGAUCUUGAGUUCGGGAGAGGUGAGUGGAACUGCGAGUGUAGAGGUGAAAUUCGUAGAUAUUCGCAAGAACACCAGUGGCGAAGGCGGCUCACUGGCCCGAUACUGACGCUGAGGCACGGAAGCGUGGGGAGCAAACAGG
Molecule: ribosomal RNA, 253 nt
Filed under: uncultured bacterium
Lineage: Bacteria
Description: partial 16S ribosomal RNA
Rfam family: Bacterial small subunit ribosomal RNA
Source: RNAcentral